GUUUGAUCCUGGCUCAGAACGAACGUUAGCGGCGCGCCUAACACAUGCAAGUCGAGCGAGAAGGAAGCAAUUCCUGUAAAGCGGCGCACGGGUGAGUAACACGUAGGUAAUCUACCUCGAAGUGGUGGAUAACCUUCCGAAAGGAGGGCUAAUACAGCAUGAGACCACGGUUUCGAAAGAGAUUGAGGUCAAAGCGGGCCACUAUACAUAAGCUCGCGCUUCGAGAUGAGCCUGCGGCCCAUCAUGGUAGUUGGUAGGGUAAUGGCCUACCAAGCCGAAGACGGGUAGCUGGUCUGAGAGGAUGAUCAGCCACACUGGAACUGAGACACGGUCCAGACUCCUACGGGAGGCAGCAGUGGGGAAUCUUGCGCAAUGGGCGAAAUCCUGACGCAGCGACGCCGCGUGAGUGAUGAAGGCC
Molecule: ribosomal RNA, 418 nt
Filed under: uncultured bacterium
Lineage: Bacteria
Description: bacterial SSU rRNA
Rfam family: Bacterial small subunit ribosomal RNA
Source: RNAcentral